UACGUAGGCAGCGAGCGUUGUUCAGAGUUACUGGGCGUAAAGGGUGCGUAGGCGGUUGUUUAAGUUUGGUGUGAAAUCUCCCGGCUCAACUGGGAGGGUGCGCCGAAUACUGAAUGACUAGAGUGCGGGAGAGGAGAGUGGAAUUCCUGGUGUAGCGGUGAAAUGCGUAGAUAUCAGGAGGAACACCGGUGGUGUAGACGGCUCUCUGGACCGUAACUGACGCUGAGGCACGAAAGCGUGGGUAGCAAACAGG
This 253-nucleotide ribosomal RNA is filed under the name uncultured bacterium. Its description in RNAcentral is "partial 16S ribosomal RNA". It matches the Rfam family "Bacterial small subunit ribosomal RNA", at positions 524 to 776 of the family's 1533-position model. The record is from RNAcentral.